Molecule: microRNA precursor, 191 nt
Filed under: Oryza rufipogon (brownbeard rice)
Lineage: Eukaryota; Viridiplantae; Streptophyta; Magnoliopsida; Poales; Poaceae
Description: MIR812 microRNA precursor family
Rfam family: MIR812 microRNA precursor family
Source: Rfam by way of RNAcentral
AAUAAAUAUAGUUUUAUACUAUUCACGUUCAAUAUUUGAUCGUUCAUCUUAUUUAAAAUUUUUUAAUAAUUAUUAUUUUUAUUGCUAUUAGAUGAUAAAAUAUGAAUAGUACUUUAUGUGUAACUAAAUAUUUUCAAAUUUUUCACAAAAUUUUCUAAUAAGACGGACGGUCAAAUGUUGGGCACGGAUAU